UACGGGGGGAGCAAGCGUUGUUCGGAUUUACUGGGCGUAAAGGGCGCGUAGGCGGCCACCGCAAGUCGAUUGUGAAAUCUCCGGGCUUAACCCGGAAAGGUCAACCGAUACUGCGGGGCUAGAGUGCAGAAGGGGCAACUGGAAUUCGUCGGUGUAGCGGUGAAAUGCGCAGAUAUCAGGAGGAACACCGGUGGCGAAGGCGGUUCUCUGGGCAUGUCCUGACGCUGGAGGAGCGAAGGCGUGGGGAGCGAACGGG
This 256-nucleotide ribosomal RNA is filed under the name uncultured bacterium. Its description in RNAcentral is "partial 16S ribosomal RNA". It matches the Rfam family "Bacterial small subunit ribosomal RNA", at positions 524 to 776 of the family's 1533-position model. The record is from RNAcentral.